RNAcentral lists this ribosomal RNA (267 nucleotides) under uncultured bacterium. RNAcentral's name for it is "partial 16S ribosomal RNA". It matches the Rfam family "Bacterial small subunit ribosomal RNA", at positions 793 to 1055 of the family's 1533-position model. The record is from RNAcentral.
GUCCACGCCCUAAACGAUGUCUACUAGUUGUUGGUGGAGUAAAAUCCAUGAGUAACGCAGCUAACGCGUGAAGUAGACCGCCUGGGGAGUACGGUCGCAAGAUUAAAACUCAAAUGAAUUGACUGGGGCCCCGCACAAGCGGUGGAUUAUGUGGAUUAAUUCGAUGCAACGCGAAAAACCUUACCUGGCCUUGACAUGUAACGAACUUUCCAGAGAUGGAUUGGUGCUCGAAAGAUAACGUUAACACAGGUGCUGCAUGGCUGUCGU